GAUGAAGAACGUAGCGAAAUGCGAUAAGUAAUGCGAAUUGCAGAAUUCAGUGAGUCAUCGAAUCUUUGAACGCACAUUGCGCCCUGUGGUAUUCCGCAGGGCAUGCCUGUUCGAGCGUCAUUUCAACCCUCAAGCCCCGCUUGGUGUUGGGCCCCGCCCGCUGUGGCCGGCCCUAAAGACAGUGGCGGCGCCGCCUGGCCCUCAGCGUAGUAUAUCUCUCGCUCCAGGGUCCGGUGGCCGCCUGCCAGAACCCCCCAACUCUGUGGUUGACCUCGGAUCAGGUAGGGAUACCCGCUGAACUUAAGCAUAUCAAUAAGCGGAGGA
RNAcentral lists this unclassified non-coding RNA (324 nucleotides) under soil metagenome. RNAcentral describes it as "partial contains 5.8S ribosomal RNA, internal transcribed spacer 2, and large subunit ribosomal RNA". The stretch from base 1 to 120 matches the Rfam family "5.8S ribosomal RNA", at positions 35 to 154 of the family's 154-position model. The record is from RNAcentral.